AACGUAGUUAUGGAAGUAUCUACAGCGGGAUCGCCGGGAAAUUAGUCGGACGGUGACCGGCUUUUGGACAUCCCGGCGAGUAGUUUGAUGAUUGGACGAAGAGGCUGAGGUAGUAUCUAGCACGCGAGGGGCACGUGGAGAGUGCCGUUUAGUGGUGAAUCCAACCGCGUUUUGACUGGUGUACUGCUGCUCAAUGGCUGAGGGUAAUUUUGUCAAUUAGGUAAGAAGAGUACACGAUGUACUCAAAAACAUCUCUUUUCUAUUUUAUUUUAAUUUUCUUUUUAGUGAAGCUAGUACUCAACUCAUAGUAAAACUAUAUAGGUCGUUUUCACUAUUUAGAAUUUUAGAUGCUCCUUUCUCUAAUUCCCUUCGCCCUUUGUAUAAAAAUAGUCGUUGUUUUCGAUAUUCAUCACAAUUUCUCUAUCAAAUAUUAGUUACUUUGACGGGAAAAAAUAGUAGUAUUAGUUGCCUUUACAGAGUUAAUUGAGUAAUUGAUAAAGUUAAUAAAUAACAAUGCUUCCAAAAUUAUACAUAUUGCGUUACUCGUAGAAAUUUUCAAUUUCAACUUGUUAGAAAAAUUGUUUACAGUGGGCAAUUGUCUACUAAUUCAGUUCCAACUUGUAACAAGUUAUAAAAGGUAGGGUGUAUGUUUGUACGGUAUAUUUAGAUGUUUUGGUUUAAUAUUUUUAAUAUUUGAUUUCUUAAAAUCAUAUACUAAUAUCUUUCAUAAUUAAAUUUGGUAUGGUUCGGUUAUUCUCCUUUUGGUUUCAGUUUAUUCGGUUUGAAUAUAGGGGAUUUGCAGCCGUACCCAAUUUUUGUGCCACCUUUUAACCUAUACCAUAUUUUUGAAAAGUAUUGAUUACGUAACCAACUAACAAAAAAUUUUUAAUAACAUGACCAUUAUACUCCUUCCAAAACAUAUUAAAACCCCGUCUCUCCUCUGUAUUCCCAGAUUCAAAUUCCAUAUCUCUUCCGUAUCUACCUUCAUCAGUCCGUCUCUUCGUAGAUCGCGUCUCGCAUUCAAAUUUCAUAUUCAAAGUCAAAUACAUUGUAAGCAUUUUUUGAAUUAUAUGUUUUCUGAUUGAUUAAUUGAAGUUGUUUGAACAACUUCACUGAUAUGCUGAAUUUGCAAUUCUAAAUCUAUUUGACGAUGAAUUCUAACAUUCUAAACUGAAGUUAUUUAGUUAACGAGCUUCCAAAUAACACAACGAAGAACAAAUUAUAUUAAAAUAUUAUAUAAUUGUUUUAAAACUUCGGCAUAAGUUGCUGAAGUUUUUUUGUUAAUAAUUAAAAGCUGAAGUUUUCCUCGUAAACUGGGUAAAAAACAAUAAAACAUAAAUUAAAUUUCAUACUGCAUCAAAAAACUUCGGCAUAGUUGCUUAAGAUUUUUAGUUAUUACUUAAAAACCACAAUAAUAAAACAUAAAUUAAAAUUUCAUACUGCAUCAAAAACUUCGGCAUAAAUGCUUAAGUUUUUUAGUAUUACUUAAAAACUGCAGCAAGAGGAGCUGAAGUUUUCCUCCUACACUAGCUAAAUUGAAAUUUCAUACUGUGUCAAAAACUUCAGAAUAGUUGCUUAGGUUUUUUAGUUAUUUCUUAAAAACUUUAGUAGGAGGAGCUGAAGUAUUCCUCCUACACUGGCUAAAUUAAAAAUUCAUAUUGCAUCAAAAAAUUUCGGCCUAGGUGCUGAAGAUUUUUACUUACUACUUAAAAACUUCAAAAUGAGGAGCUGAAGUUUUCUUCCUCCUCUGACUAAAUUAAAAAAUCAUAUUGCACCAAAAAUUUCGGCUACGUGCUGAUGUUUUUUAGUUAUUAUUUAAAAACUUCACGCUUGAACUAAAAAAUUUGAAUGGAAUUGAUAUUAAAAAAAAUGCAGAAAAAACUUAAAACAAAAACUUAAUAUUUCAUUAAAACAUAAACAAAGAUAAAAAAAUUACAUAAAUAACAAAAAAAAAUUGAUCAUCCAUAUCAUCAUUAUCAUCAUCGUUGUCGCUGCUAGAUGGACGAGCAUCUUCAUCUUCAUCUUUAUCAACAAGAUUAUCAGAUCUCGCAUAAAUCACAAGCUUAUCAAGCUUGUUGUUGAUUUCUUUGAGCUCCAUGUCGUACUUUUCUAUGACCUCAUCAAGCUUCAACUCAAAUGCCUCAAUGAUAUCUUGCUUGAUCUUGUCCACUAUUUGCCUGAUGACAACAUCCAUUUUUUUGCUUUUUGUAUUUUAUGUCUGCCAAUAUAUAUGUGUUUGAGUGGAUAAACUCACAAGGAAUAACGUGCUUAUAUAUGGGAAAAAAAUUUCUGCAUGUUAUAUGAAAAGGCAAAAAUUUUUUAAAGGUUGUCUAAUGAAAAGCGUGCAUGAAUACGAUAGGAAUGUAAUUAUACACAAACACAUACCCCAAACCCAAUAUAAUUAAUACUUUAAGUGUAUAGGUUACUGCUGUAUACUAGCCAAUUAAUGCUAAAACAUGCUCAAGUUUGUUGAAUUCAUUUGCUAAAACUUCAGCUCAAUGUGAUGAAGUUUCUUAGUUCAUUUCUAAAACUUCAACACUUACUGGCUGGAGUUUUUUCCCCUGCAUUGAUGAAUCACCAUCAUACAAAAACUUCAGCCCAAUGUGCUGAAGUUUCUUAGUUCAUUUCUAAGAAAUUCAGCAUUUAAUAAGCUGAAGUUUUCUAUGCGAAAUUAAUUAAUUAUGUCAUACAUCUUUUACCAAAAAACUUCAGCAGAAGAUGCCUAAGUGAUUUAGUUGUUCUAAAAACUUCAGCACUUAACAAGCUGAAGUUUUCUGUGCAUGAUUCAUUAAUUAUGCCAUACAUCUUUUACCAAAAAAACUUCAACAGAAGAUACUUAAGAAACAACCUAAAAAUUCUUUUGUUCACUUUCUUAAUAAUUUCCACUAAACAUGAAUCUGUAGGAUGAGUUCGAUUUGCGUUGUUAUAACUUUCAAUGGGAGUUGGACUCCUGAUUUCAAAUGCUUGGAUCAUGAUACAAAACUUGUUCUAGUUAAUAAGGACAUAUCAUUCGAUACUUUCCUGAAGAAAAUUAAUGAAAUUGCAAAUAUUGAUUCAACCAGAUAUGCAUUAAAAGUAUGGUUUGAAAUCAAACUAAAUACAAGCAAAGGAAUGCUUGUAACUUCAUAUGAAGAACUCAGUACGUGUAUACAUUUGCUUACAAUUGAUUCAGCCUACAAGAAUUGUUAUUUCGUCAUUGAAAAAAUACAACCUUCAAAAUCUGUAGCAUUCAACUAAUCUCUUGCAUAUGCGAUAGAUUUAGAACCUUUUGCUGACUAUCAACAUGAACCAUGACAGCCAUUAAUGGAAAUAGACAAUGGGAAACAACCUUCUAACAUUACAGCGGCUUCAGAAUACAUAGUGCUGCAACAUUACCCCAUCCUUCAAUAAUUUCAUACCAGUUUGUCAAUGACCAAGAAGAAGAAGGGCAACUAAUAAUGCAAAUUGACAACGAACACACAAUUCAACAAAGCUUUUUGUUACCUUCCGUAAUGAUAAGCAACACUGAAGGCGAAGUAAACAUGGAGCUUAUACUAAUAACAUCAAAUAUAAUUGAAGAAAUUGCUGAAAGUUCUAGUGCUCCUCAGAAAUCAAGAAAAAGACCGAGGAGAAAGUUGAAAGAAUCUCCACCAUGUAAAAUACUUAGGCACGAUGCAUUGCAUGAGGAAGUAAGAAUUGGAUCCAUCUUUGAGAACAAGAAAAACAUGACUAAAUUUUUCAGCAGCUUGGAGAUAAACCAAAAAGUUGAAUUCACUGUUGUUAGAUCAUGUUCCAAGGGAUACGAGCUAAAAUGCAUCAUGGACAAAUGUUGUUGGAAUGUACGUGCCACCAGAAUAAAAAAUUCCACACUUUUCAGGGAGAUAAAAUAUCAUAACAUCCAUGAAUGCUCGGUUGAUGCAAGAAAAUCAGAUCAAAAGCAUGCUACAUCAAAUUUUAUAAGUGAACAAAUUAUAGAACACGUUCGAGACAAAAAAAUAGAGACUACACCAGCCUUUGUAGAAAAUGAAAUAAAAAAAUUAGAAUUGACAUUGGUUAUCACAAGGCAUGGUAUGCCAUUCAAAAAGCUAUUGCUUGCAUAAGAGGACCACCUGAAGAGAACUACCAGAUUCUUCAUUCAUACAUACACAUGAUGGUGACCAAAAACCUAGGAACGUACACAAGCAUAAAAAGAGAUGUGCAGAAAAGGUAAGCAAAACAAUACUAACCAUCAGCCUAAAGUUUCAAAUGUUACUAUUUUAAAAACUUCACACCUUAUGAUUUUUUUUGUUUGAAUGUACAAAUUUGCUUACAUGUUCGUUGCUCUUGCGACAUCAGUAGCUGGUUGGUCCUACUGUGGACCCGUUAUUGCAGUAGAUGCAACAUUUUUAAAGUUAAAAUAUCGUGGUGUUCUAUUUGUUGUUGUAUCAAACGAUGGAAAUAAUCAAAUCUAUCCUCUAUGUUUUGGUAUAGCAGAUUCAGAAAAUAAUGAGGCAUACAUUUGGUUCUUCGG
Molecule: long non-coding RNA, 4489 nt
Filed under: Nicotiana benthamiana
Lineage: Eukaryota; Viridiplantae; Streptophyta; Magnoliopsida; Solanales; Solanaceae
Description: long non-coding RNA (NBEN_LNC027623)
Source: RNAcentral